Molecule: ribosomal RNA, 515 nt
Filed under: uncultured bacterium
Lineage: Bacteria
Description: partial 16S ribosomal RNA
Rfam family: Bacterial small subunit ribosomal RNA
Source: RNAcentral
GAUGAACGCUGGCGGCGUGCCUAAUACAUGCAAGUCGAGCGAAUGGAUUAAGAGCUUGCUCUUAUGAAGUUAGCGGCGGACGGGUGAGUAACACGUGGGUAACCUGCCCAUAAGACUGGGAUAACUCCGGGAAACCGGGGCUAAUACCGGAUAACAUUUUGAACCGCAUGGUUCGAAAUUGAAAGGCGGCUUCGGCUGUCACUUAUGGAUGGACCCGCGUCGCAUUAGCUAGUUGGUGAGGUAACGGCUCACCAAGGCAACGAUGCGUAGCCGACCUGAGAGGGUGAUCGGCCACACUGGGACUGAGACACGGCCCAGACUCCUACGGGAGGCAGCAGUAGGGAAUCUUCCGCAAUGGACGAAAGUCUAACGGAGCAACGCCGCGUGAGUGAUGAAGGCUUUCGGGUCGUAAAACUCUGUUGUUAGGGAAGAACAAGUGCUAGUUGAAUAAGCUGGCACCUUGACGGUACCCAACCAGAAAGCCACGGCUAACUACGUGCCAGCCGCCGCCGUAA